UUGAAAGGGAAACGAUUGAAGUCAGUCAUACCAACGGGAAAUCAACCUCUUGAGCUCGGUCUCGUGGGUUUUGAAGAGUUUCAAAGCCUUCGGAUUCGCGGGAUUGGGAUCUCCUGGCGUACUUUUUCGUACGGUUAGUCAACAUCGGUUUUGUAUGUCAUAAAAUGACUGGAGGAAUGUAGCUUCGAUCUCGUAUUGAAGUGUUAUAGCCUUUGGUAGAUGUGAUGUUUGAGACCGAGGAUUGCAACGGAUACCCUUCAGGGCUAUUCGUCUGAUCUCUGAUACGUUGCCUUGAUGUUGAAAGCUCGCUUAUGAUGUUAGGGUAUUACGGUCAAAAGGUUAGAACGAAUUACAUUCGUUAAGGAUGUUGACGUA
RNAcentral lists this ribosomal RNA (375 nucleotides) under uncultured Glomeromycotina. RNAcentral's name for it is "LSU rRNA". The record is from RNAcentral. Lineage: Eukaryota; Fungi; Glomeromycota.